CUGAAUCCAUAGGUUAAUGAGGCGAACCGGGGGAACUGAAACAUCUAAGUACCCCGAGGAAAAGAAAUCAACCGAGAUUCCCCCAGUAGCGGCGAGCGAACGGGGAGGAGCCCAGAGCCUGAAUCAGUGUGUGUGUUAGUGGAAGCGUCUGGAAAGGCGCGCGAUACAGGGUGACAGCCCCGUACACAAAAAUGCACAUGCUGUGAGCUCGAUGAGUAGGGCGGGACACGUGGUAUCCUGUCUGAAUAUGGGGGGACCAUCCUCCAAGGCUAAAUACUCCUGACUGACCGAUAGUGAACCAGUACCGUGAGGGAAAGGCGAAAAGAACCCCGGCGAGGGGAGUGAAAAAGAACCUGAAACCGUGUACGUACAAGCAGUGGGAGCACGCUUAGGCGUGUGACUGCGUACCUUUUGUAUAAUGGGUCAGCGACUUAUAUUCUGUAGCAAGGUUAACCGAAUAGGGGAGCCGAAGGGAAACCGAGUCUUAACUGGGCGUUAAGUUGCAGGGUAUAGACCCGAAACCCGGUGAUCUAGCCAUGGGCAGGUUGAAGGUUGGGUAACACUAACUGGAGGACCGAACCGACUAAUGUUGAAAAAUUAGCGGAUGACUUGUGGCUGGGGGUGAAAGGCCAAUCAAACCGGGAGAUAGCUGGUUCUCCCCGAAAGCUAUUUAGGUAGCGCCUCGUGAAUUCAUCUCCGGGGGUAGAGCACUGUUUCGGCAAGGGGGUCAUCCCGACUUACCAACCCGAUGCAAACUGCGAAUACCGGAGAAUGUUAUCACGGGAGACACACGGCGGGUGCUAACGUCCGUCGUGAAGAGGGAAACAACCCAGACCGCCAGCUAAGGUCCCAAAGUCAUGGUUAAGUGGGAAACGAUGUGGGAAGGCCCAGACAGCCAGGAUGUUGGCUUAGAAGCAGCCAUCAUUUAAAGAAAGCGUAAUAGCUCACUGGUCGAGUCGGCCUGCGCGGAAGAUGUAACGGGGCUAAACCAUGCAC
This 996-nucleotide ribosomal RNA is filed under the name Escherichia coli. RNAcentral describes it as "partial 23S ribosomal RNA". It matches the Rfam family "Bacterial large subunit ribosomal RNA", at positions 158 to 1194 of the family's 2925-position model. The record is from RNAcentral. Lineage: Bacteria; Pseudomonadati; Pseudomonadota; Gammaproteobacteria; Enterobacterales; Enterobacteriaceae.